RNAcentral lists this transfer RNA (75 nucleotides) under Armatimonadota bacterium. RNAcentral describes it as "Armatimonadetes bacterium (sediment metagenome) tRNA-Gly". It matches the Rfam family "tRNA". From Rfam's summary of the family: Transfer RNA (tRNA) molecules are approximately 80 nucleotides in length. The record is from RNAcentral. Lineage: Bacteria; Bacillati; Armatimonadota.
GCGGGAGUAGCUCAGCGGUAGAGCACCUCGUUGCCAACGAGGGGGUCGCGGGUUCAAAUCCCGUCUCCCGCUCCA